Long non-coding RNA from Rhagoletis zephyria (snowberry fruit fly), 149 nucleotides. RefSeq lists it as uncharacterized. The record is from RefSeq and is a predicted model, not a curated record. Lineage: Eukaryota; Metazoa; Arthropoda; Insecta; Diptera; Tephritidae.
AUUUUCUGCUUAUGUAAAGUGCAUACUGUACACAGAAAAAUACAUUUCUUAAUCUGAGGCUUUAGUCGUGGGAUAUAAAGCUCUUGUCGGAUCAUUUGCUGCAUAAGCCGAUGUUCGGCGUGUAGCAUCAACAAAGCGCACCAAACUCA